Molecule: ribosomal RNA, 805 nt
Filed under: Arthrobacter sp.
Lineage: Bacteria; Bacillati; Actinomycetota; Actinomycetes; Micrococcales; Micrococcaceae
Description: bacterial SSU rRNA
Rfam family: Bacterial small subunit ribosomal RNA
Source: RNAcentral
CGAUGAUCCGGUGCUUGCACCGGGGAUUAGUGGCGAACGGGUGAGUAACACGUGAGUAACCUGCCCUUGACUCUGGGAUAAGCCUGGGAAACUGGGUCUAAUACCGGAUAUGACUCCUCAUCGCAUGGUGGGGGGUGGAAAGCUUUUGUGGUUUUGGAUGGACUCGCGGCCUAUCAGCUUGUUGGUGAGGUAAUGGCUCACCAAGGCGACGACGGGUAGCCGGCCUGAGAGGGUGACCGGCCACACUGGGACUGAGACACGGCCCAGACUCCUACGGGAGGCAGCAGUGGGGAAUAUUGCACAAUGGGCGCAAGCCUGAUGCAGCGACGCCGCGUGAGGGAUGACGGCCUUCGGGUUGUAAACCUCUUUCAGUAGGGAAGAAGCGAAAGUGACGGUACCUGCAGAAGAAGCGCCGGCUAACUACGUGCCAGCAGCCGCGGUAAUACGUAGGGCGCAAGCGUUAUCCGGAAUUAUUGGGCGUAAAGAGCUCGUAGGCGGUUUGUCGCGUCUGCCGUGAAAGUCCGGGGCUCAACUCCGGAUCUGCGGUGGGUACGGGCAGGCUAGAGUGAUGUAGGGGAGACUGGAAUUCCUGGUGUAGCGGUGAAAUGCGCAGAUAUCAGGAGGAACACCGAUGGCGAAGGCAGGUCUCUGGGCAUUAACUGACGCUGAGGAGCGAAAGCAUGGGGAGCGAACAGGAUUAGAUACCCUGGUAGUCCAUGCCGUAAACGUUGGGCACUAGGUGUGGGGGACAUUCCACGUUUUCCGCGCCGUAGCUAACGCAUUAAGUGCCCCGCCUGGGGAGUAC